CUACGGUGCUGAAGCAACAAAUGCCCUGCUUCCAGGAAAAGCCUCUAAGCAUCAGGUAACAUCAAAUCGUACCCCAAACCGACACAGGUGGUCAGGUAGAGAAUACCAAGGCGCUUGAGAGAACUCGGGUGAAGGAACUAGGCAAAAUGGUGCCGUAACUUCGGGAGAAGGCACGCUGACACGUAGGUGAAGUGAUUUACUCAUGGAGCUGAAGUCAGUCGAAGAUACCAGCUGGCUGCAACUGUUUAUUAAAAACACAGCACUGUGCAAACACGAAAGUGGACGUAUACGGUGUGACGCCUGCCCGGUGCCGGAAGGUUAAUUGAUGGGGUCAGCGCAAGCGAAGCUCCUGAUCGAAGCCCCGGUAAACGGCGGCCGUAACUAUAACGGUCCUAAGGUAGCGAAAUUCCUUGUCGGGUAAGUUCCGACCUGCACGAAUGGCGUAAUGAUGGCCAGGCUGUCUCCACCCGAGACUCAGUGAAAUUGAACUCGCUGUGAAGAUGCAGUGUACCCGCGGCAAGACGGAAAGACCCCGUGAACCUUUACUAUAGCUUGACACUGAACAUUGAGCCUUGAUGUGUAGGAUAGGUGGGAGGCUUUGAAGUGUGGACGCCAGUCUGCAUGGAGCCGACCUUGAAAUACCACCCUUUAAUGUUUGAUGUUCUAACGUGGACCCGUGAUCCGGGUUGCGGACAGUGUCUGGUGGGUAGUUUGACUGGGGCGGUCUCCUCCUAAAGAGUAACGGAGGAGCACGAAGGUUGGCUAAUCCUGGUCGGACAUCAGGAGGUUAGUGCAAUGGCAUAAGCCAGCUUGACUGCGAGCGUGACGGCGCGAGCAGGUGCGAAAGCAGGUCAUAGUGAUCCGGUGGUUCUGAAUGGAAGGGCCAUCGCUCAACGGAUAAAAGGUACUCCGGGGAUAACAGGCUGAUACCGCCCAAGAGUUCAUAUCGACGGCGGUGUUUGGCACCUCGAUGUCGGCUCAUCACAUCCUGGGGCUGAAGUAGGUCCCAAGGGUAUGGCUGUUCGCCAUUUAAAGUGGUACGCGAGCUGGGUUUAGAACGUCGUGAGACAGUUCGGUCCCUAUCUGCCGUGGGCGCUGGAGAACUGAGGGGGGCUGCUCCUAGUACGAGAGGACCGGAGUGGACGCAUCACUGGUGUUCGGGUUGUCAUGCCAAUGGCACUGCCCGGUAGCUAAAUGCGGAAGAGAUAAGUGCUGAAAGCAUCUAAGCACGAAACUUGCCCCGAGAUGAGUUCUCCCUGAGACUUUAAGUCUCCUGAAGGAACGUUGAAGACGACGACGUUGAUAGGCCGGGUGUGUAAGCGCAGCGAUGCGUUGAGCUAACCGGUACUAAUGAACCGUGAGGCUUAACCUUACAACGCCGAAG
Molecule: ribosomal RNA, 1384 nt
Filed under: Salmonella enterica subsp. enterica serovar Sundsvall
Lineage: Bacteria; Pseudomonadati; Pseudomonadota; Gammaproteobacteria; Enterobacterales; Enterobacteriaceae
Description: partial 23S ribosomal RNA
Rfam family: Bacterial large subunit ribosomal RNA
Source: RNAcentral